This 253-nucleotide ribosomal RNA is filed under the name uncultured bacterium. RNAcentral describes it as "partial 16S ribosomal RNA". It matches the Rfam family "Bacterial small subunit ribosomal RNA", at positions 524 to 776 of the family's 1533-position model. The record is from RNAcentral.
UACGUAGGGUGCGAGCGUUGUCCGGAAUUAUUGGGCGUAAAGGGCUCGUAGGCGGUUUGUCGCGUCAGGAGUGAAAACUCGGGGCUUAACCCCGAGCCUGCUUCUGAUACGGGCAGACUAGAGGUAUGCAGGGGAGAACGGAAUUCCUGGUGUAGCGGUGAAAUGCGCAGAUAUCAGGAGGAACACCGGUGGCGAAGGCGGUUCUCCGGGCAUUACCUGACGCUGAGGAGCGAAAGUGUGGGGAGCGAACAGG